RNAcentral lists this ribosomal RNA (484 nucleotides) under uncultured bacterium. Its description in RNAcentral is "partial 16S ribosomal RNA". It matches the Rfam family "Bacterial small subunit ribosomal RNA", at positions 29 to 507 of the family's 1533-position model. The record is from RNAcentral.
AUUGAACGCUGGCGGCAUGCUUUACACAUGCAAGUCGAACGGCAGCGCGGGCUUCGGCCUGGCGGCGAGUGGCGAACGGGUGAGUAAUGCAUCGGAACGUGCCCAGUAGUGGGGGAUAGCCCGGCGAAAGCCGGAUUAAUACCGCAUCCGACCUGAGGGUGAAAGCGGGGGACCGAAAGGCCUCGCGCUAUUGGAGCGGCCGAUGUCGGAUUAGCUAGUUGGUGGGGUAAAGGCUUACCAAGGCGACGAUCCGUAGCUGGUCUGAGAGGACGACCAGCCACACUGGAACUGAGACACGGCCCAGACUCCUACGGGAGGCAGCAGUGGGGAAUUUUGGACAAUGGGGGCAACCCUGAUCCAGCCAUGCCGCGUGCGGGAAGAAGGCCUUCGGGUUGUAAACCGCUUUUGUUCGGGAAGAAAACCUCUGGGCUAAUACCCCGGGGGGAUGACGGUACCGGAAGAAUAAGCACCGGCUAACUACGUG